Molecule: ribosomal RNA, 706 nt
Filed under: Vibrio sp. KR04-52
Lineage: Bacteria; Pseudomonadati; Pseudomonadota; Gammaproteobacteria; Vibrionales; Vibrionaceae
Description: bacterial SSU rRNA
Rfam family: Bacterial small subunit ribosomal RNA
Source: RNAcentral
GAGUAAUGCCUAGGAAGUUGCCCAGUAGAGGGGGAUAACCAUUGGAAACGAUGGCUAAUACCGCAUAUUCUCUUUGGAGCAAAGCAGGGGACCUUCGGGCCUUGCGCUAUUGGAUACGCCUAGGUGGGAUUAGCUAGUUGGUGAGGUAAUGGCUCACCAAGGCAACGAUCCCUAGCUGGUCUGAGAGGAUGAUCAGCCACACUGGAACUGAGACACGGUCCAGACUCCUACGGGAGGCAGCAGUGGGGAAUAUUGCACAAUGGGCGAAAGCCUGAUGCAGCCAUGCCGCGUGUAUGAAGAAGGCCUUCGGGUUGUAAAGUACUUUCAGUCGUGAGGAAGGGGGUAAGCUUAAUACGCUUAUCUCUUGACGUUAGCGACAGAAGAAGCACCGGCUAACUCCGUGCCAGCAGCCGCGGUAAUACGGAGGGUGCGAGCGUUAAUCGGAAUUACUGGGCGUAAAGCGCAUGCAGGUGGUUCAAUAAGUCAGAUGUGAAAGCCCGGGGCUCAACCUCGGAACUGCAUUUGAAACUGUUGGACUAGAGUACUGUAGAGGGGGGUAGAAUUUCNGGUGUAGCGGUGAAAAUGCGUAGAGAUCUNGNAAGGAAUACCAGUGGCGAANGCGGNCCCCUGGACAGAUACUGACACUCANAUGCGAAAGCGUGGGGGAGCAAACNNGANNAGANACCCUGGUAGUCCACGCCGUAAA